UGGGUGUGGCUCAGAGGUAGAGCACUUGCCUGGCAGGCAGGAGACUCUGGGUUCAAUCCCUAACACUUCAA
This 71-nucleotide transfer RNA is filed under the name Cavia porcellus (domestic guinea pig). It matches the Rfam family "tRNA". Rfam says of the family: Transfer RNA (tRNA) molecules are approximately 80 nucleotides in length. The record is from Rfam by way of RNAcentral. Lineage: Eukaryota; Metazoa; Chordata; Mammalia; Rodentia; Caviidae.